GUAGGGAAUCUUCCACAAUGGACGAAAGUCUGAUGGAGCAAUGCCGCGUGAGUGAAGAAGGUCUUCGGAUCGUAAAACUCUGUUGUUAGAGAAGAACGUGCAUGAUAGUAACUGAUCAUGUAAUGACGGUAUCUAACCAGAAAGCCACGGCUAACUACGUGCCAGCAGCCGCGGUAAUACGUAGGUGGCAAGCGUUGUCCGGAUUUAUUGGGCGUAAAGGGAACGCAGGCGGUUUUUUAAGUCUGAUGUGAAAGCCUUCGGCUUAACCGAAGAAUAGCAUUGGAAACUGGAAGACUUGAGUGCAGAAGAGGAGAGUGGAAUUCCAUGUGUAGCGGUGAAAUGCGUAGAUAUAUGGAGGAACACCAGUGGCGAAAGCGGCUCUCUGGUCUGUAACUGACGCUGAGGUUCGAAAGCGUGGGUAGCAAACAGGAUUAGAAACCCCUGUAGUCC
RNAcentral lists this ribosomal RNA (450 nucleotides) under uncultured bacterium. RNAcentral describes it as "partial 16S ribosomal RNA". It matches the Rfam family "Bacterial small subunit ribosomal RNA", at positions 354 to 796 of the family's 1533-position model. The record is from RNAcentral.